RNAcentral lists this ribosomal RNA (334 nucleotides) under uncultured bacterium. Its description in RNAcentral is "bacterial SSU rRNA". It matches the Rfam family "Bacterial small subunit ribosomal RNA", at positions 568 to 898 of the family's 1533-position model. The record is from RNAcentral.
CGUGUAGGCGGCUCAUCAAGUCUGGUGUGAAAAUAGCAGGGCGUCAACCCUCGCAAAUAGCGCUGGAAACUGGUGGGCUUGAGUUCUUGAGGGGAAGCUGGAAUUCCAGGUGUAGGGGUGAAAUCUGUAGAUAUCUGGAAGAACACCGGUGGCGAAGGCGAGCUUCUAUCAGAGGACUGACGCUGAGGCGCGAAAGCGUGAGGAGCAAACAGGAUUAGAUACCCUGGUAGUCCACGCUGUAAACGAUGUGCACUAGGCGCGGGGCACGUACGUGUUCUGUGCCGUAGCUAACGUGGUAAGUGCACCGCCUGGGGAGUAUGCUCGCAAGGGUGAA